CUUGUGAGCAUGCUCACUGAAGCAGGGGGUGCAGUACAGAACAUUCCUGAAGCAGAGGGGCAGAGCUUAACAGAACCUUCUCAUGCGGGGACAGAGCUUAACAGAGCAUUUCUGAAAGAUCACACAGUUCAAACAGUCACAAACCAUUUUGAUACAUUGGGCGGGAGCCCAGCAACCCAAACUUACAUUUCCAAAACAACAUUCUGUGGGAAAAAAAUGGAGGCAAGGCAAGGGCCUAUCUUAUUGUGUAGCACUUCUCUAUCACCACCUGCCUCACAAGUGCAAGCUCCUCAGUUUGAUCCCUAGUACCAAAAAAAAAAAAAAAAAAGACUUAAGAUCCUGGCUUCAAUCCCCAGUACUGGGGAAAAAAAGGAAAAGAAAAAGAAAACAAAAGAAUUGAGCUGAACAACACUAUACACCACCCAGCUCUAACAGAUAUCAAUAGAACCCUGGACCCAGCAACCACAGAAUACACAUUUUUCUCAAGCUCACAUGGAAAUAUUCUCCAGGGAAGAUCUUAUGGAUCGAAUUCAGGACCUUGCACUCUCCCAGGCGCAGGCACCACUGAGCUAAAUCCCGGGCCCCCAUAGUAAGUUUUUAAAACUUACAUUUACUAUAUUUUUCCAUCACACCUCAUAGAAAGUAUUGGUAAUCAGAUGACCUAGGACUUCCCAACUGCAGCACUGACAUCUAAAAGACAAGAGAGCAAUGCCUUCAAAAUCUGAAGAAACUCCACUCCGCCCAAAGGAACCCAAACAAGGGCUCCAAAAGAUGGCUGCACAGUUCACCGCAAAGGUCACUCACAAAAGCCAAAAGAGCCAAGGAUGGAGCUCAGCAGCACUGCACCUGUCUGGCAAGCACAAGGUCCUGAAUUCAAUCCCCAGUACUGAAAACAAAACAAAACAAAACAAACUUCUAUCCAUGAACUUGUGAUUUAAAAAAAAGAAAUUGGUGCUAGUUUUGCUGUCA
Molecule: long non-coding RNA, 969 nt
Filed under: Heterocephalus glaber (naked mole-rat)
Lineage: Eukaryota; Metazoa; Chordata; Mammalia; Rodentia; Bathyergidae
Description: lncRNA (ENSHGLG00000043045.1)
Source: RNAcentral